UACGGGGGGGGUAAGCGUUGUUCGGAAUUACUGGGCGUAAAGGGCGCGUAGGCGGUCUUCUAAGUCUUGUGUGAAAUCCCUCGGCUCAACUGAGGAACUGCACGGGAUACUGGAAGACUUGAGUUCGGGAGAGGGAAGCGGAAUUCCGGGUGUAGCGGUGAAAUGCGUAGAUAUCCGGAGGAACACCGGUGGCGAAGGCGGCUUCCUGGACCGAUUACUGACGCUGAGGCGCGAAAGCUAGGGGAGCAAACGGG
RNAcentral lists this ribosomal RNA (254 nucleotides) under uncultured bacterium. RNAcentral's name for it is "partial 16S ribosomal RNA". It matches the Rfam family "Bacterial small subunit ribosomal RNA", at positions 524 to 776 of the family's 1533-position model. The record is from RNAcentral.